UGGGGAAUAUUGGGCAAUGGGCGAAAGCCUGACCCAGCCACGCCGCGUGAGUGAUGAAGGCCUUCGGGUCGUAAAGCUCUGUGGGGAGGGACGAACAAAUCUGGGGCUAAUCACCCGGAUCCUGACGGUACCUCCUUAGCAAGCACCGGCUAACCCUGUGCCAGCAGCCGCGGUAAUACAGGGGGUGCAAACGUUGCUCGGAAUCAUUGGGCGUAAAGCGCACGUAGGCGGUCUGUUAUGUCGGAUGUGAAAGCCCUUGGCUUAACUGAGGAAGUGCAUCCGAAACUGGCAGGCUAGAGUACUAAAGAGGGUCGCGGAAUUCCCGGUGUAGAGGUGAAAUUCGUAGAUAUCGGGAGGAACACCGGUGGCGAAGGCGGCGACCUGGGUAGAUACUGACGCUGAGGUGCGAAAGCGUGGGGAGCAAACAG
This 428-nucleotide ribosomal RNA is filed under the name uncultured bacterium. Its description in RNAcentral is "bacterial SSU rRNA". It matches the Rfam family "Bacterial small subunit ribosomal RNA", at positions 355 to 775 of the family's 1533-position model. The record is from RNAcentral.